AAGGAUUUAAGUUAUUUAAACUCUCAACCUUCAAAGUUGAAAAUAGAAGAUUUUUCUAAGCCUUA
RNAcentral lists this transfer RNA (65 nucleotides) under Glena unipennaria. RNAcentral's name for it is "tRNA-Trp". Lineage: Eukaryota; Metazoa; Arthropoda; Insecta; Lepidoptera; Geometridae. RNAcentral also lists the same sequence under 1 other name. The record is from RNAcentral.